AAUCACACUUUGAGACUUUUUCUCUUCUUGCAUCAAAAUUACUAUGAAAUGCUACAAUAACAAUUACUAUUACAUUCAAAACUCAAAUCAACUUUGAGAUUUUGUCUUCUUCUUCCAUCAUAACUAGUAUGAAAUGUAGCAUUACAUUGAGAAGUUAAGAUCACACUUAUAUUUACAAAUCAUCAUAUAAAUGUUUCUCUUAUUCUCCUUUACUCUGUCCUUCCUCUCUCCUUUUUUUCUACUGAACGCAUUUCAUCCUGAAGAUAAAAUAACUCAUUAUCCAAUCUACGUAAUGUUCUGCAAACGAAAUGUUUUUUUAGUUUAAUAACUGAAUAUGAAAUAAUAAACAAAACAAUGAAGAAAAUAUAUAUGUAAAAACUAGAAAAAGUAUAUGAAUCUAACUAAUUAUAUAUAUAAUACCUUUGGUAGUUCCUUAACUUGAUUUUGAGAUUAAUAUCAUCACUCUUAGAAAAGUAUAUGUUUGCGUCUUCGUCGUCGCCAUCUUUGCCCAUUUGUUCAAACUCUAAAUAUUCAGAGAUGGCUAAAAGCAUUAUUUGUGUCGUUGGUAAAAAUUUACUU
Molecule: long non-coding RNA, 579 nt
Filed under: Phaseolus vulgaris (common bean)
Lineage: Eukaryota; Viridiplantae; Streptophyta; Magnoliopsida; Fabales; Fabaceae
Description: long non-coding RNA (PVUL_LNC003582)
Source: RNAcentral